This 299-nucleotide unclassified non-coding RNA is filed under the name Paralepista sp. RNAcentral's name for it is "partial contains 5.8S ribosomal RNA, internal transcribed spacer 2, and large subunit ribosomal RNA". The stretch from base 1 to 52 matches the Rfam family "5.8S ribosomal RNA", at positions 103 to 154 of the family's 154-position model. Lineage: Eukaryota; Fungi; Basidiomycota; Agaricomycetes; Agaricales; Paralepistaceae. The record is from RNAcentral. RNAcentral also lists the same sequence under 1 other name.
AACGCACCUUGCGCUCCUUGGUAUUCCGAGGAGCAUGCCUGUUUGAGUGUCAUUAAAUUCUCAACCUCUUCCAUUUUAAUUAAUGGUUUAGGCUUGGAUGUGGGGGUUGCGGGCUUCUCAGAAGUCGGCUCUCCUUAAAUGCAUUAGCGGAACCUUUGUGGACCGUCUUUGGUGUGAUAAUUAUCUACGCCAUGGUCGUGAAGCAGUUUUACAUGGGGUUCAGCUUAUAACCGUCUAUUUACUUGGACAACUUUUGACAUUUUGACCUCAAAUCAGGUAGGACUACCCGCUGAACUUAA